CCUACGGGGUGCAGCAGUGAGGAAUAUUGGUCAAUGGGCGCGAGCCUGAACCAGCCAAGUCGCGUGAGGGAAGACGGUCCUAUGGAUUGUAAACCUCUUUUGUCGGGGAGCAAAAGACGCCACGCGUGGCGUUCCGAGAGUACCCGACGUACAAGCAUCGGCUAACUCCGUGCCAGCAGCCGCGGUAAUACGGAGGAUGCGAGCGUUAUCCGGAUUUAUUGGGUUUAAAGGGUGCGCAGGCGGAAGAUCAAGUCAGCGGUAAAAUUGAGAGGCUCAACCUCUUCGAGCCGUUGAAACUGGUGUUCUUGAGUGAGUGAGAAGUAUGCGGAAUGCGUGGUGUAGCGGUGAAAUGCAUAGAUAUCACGCAGAACUCCGAUUGCGAAGGCAGCAUACCGGCGCUCAACUGACGCUCAUGCACGAAAGUGUGGGUAUCGAACAGGAUUAGAUACCCCUGUAGUC
RNAcentral lists this ribosomal RNA (459 nucleotides) under uncultured bacterium. RNAcentral describes it as "partial 16S ribosomal RNA". It matches the Rfam family "Bacterial small subunit ribosomal RNA", at positions 338 to 795 of the family's 1533-position model. The record is from RNAcentral.